RNAcentral lists this ribosomal RNA (524 nucleotides) under uncultured bacterium. RNAcentral's name for it is "bacterial SSU rRNA". It matches the Rfam family "Bacterial small subunit ribosomal RNA", at positions 791 to 1316 of the family's 1533-position model. The record is from RNAcentral.
UAGUCCACACCGUAAACGAUGAAUGCCAGACGUCGGGGGGCUUGCCCUUCGGUGUCACACCUAACGGAUUAAGCAUUCCGCCUGGGGAGUACGGUCGCAAGAUUAAAACUCAAAGAAUUGACGGGGGCCCGCACAAGCGGUGGAGCAUGUGGUUUAAUUCGAUGCAACGCGAAAAACCUUACCUACCCUUGACAUCCUCAGAACUUGUUAGAGAUAACUUGGUGCCUUCGGGAACUGAGUGACAGGUGCUGCAUGGCUGUCGUCAGUUCGUGUCGUGAGAUGUUGGGUUAAGUCCCGCAACGAGCGCAACCCUUGUCCCUAGUUGCCAGCACGUAAUGGUGGGAACUCUAGGGAGACUGCCGGUGACAAACCGGAGGAAGGUGGGGAUGACGUCAAGUCAUCGUGGCCCUUACGGGUAGGGCUACACACGUGCUACAAUGGUCGGUACAGAGGGUUGCGAAGCCGCGAGGUGGAGCUAAUCUCAUAAAACCGAUCGUAGUCCGGAUUGGAUCGGGUNCACUCGA